RNAcentral lists this ribosomal RNA (497 nucleotides) under uncultured bacterium. RNAcentral describes it as "partial 16S ribosomal RNA". It matches the Rfam family "Bacterial small subunit ribosomal RNA", at positions 28 to 507 of the family's 1533-position model. The record is from RNAcentral.
GAUGAACGCUGGCGGCGUGCCUAAUACAUGCAAGUCGAGCGAACGGACGAGAAGCUUGCUUCUCUGAUGUUAGCGGCGGACGGGUGAGUAACACGUGGAUAACCUACCUAUAAGACUGGGAUAACUUCGGGAAACCGGAGAUAAUACCGGAUAAUAUUUUGAACCGCAUGGUUCAAAAGUGAAAGACGGUCUUGCUGUCACUUAUAGAUGGAUCCGCGCUGCAUUAGCUAGUUGGUAAGGUAACGGCUUACCAAGGCAACGAUGCGUAGCCGACCUGAGAGGGUGAUCGGCCACACUGGAACUGAGACACGGUCCAGACUCCUACGGGAGGCAGCAGUAGGGAAUCUUCCGCAAUGGGCGAAAGCCUGACGGAGCAACGCCGCGUGAGUGAUGAAGGUCUUCGGAUCGUAAAACUCUGUUAUUAGGGAAGAACAGAUGUGUAAGUAACUGUGCACAUCUUGACGGUACCUAAUCAGAAAGCCCCGGCUAACUACGUG